GUUGGCAAGAGGCUUAAUUGACACCUUUGAUGUAGCCUAAGACAGAACCUGCACCUCCCACUGCUGCUUGGGAGACGUCAGCUUUACGCAGAAAAGGCAUCUGCUGAUGAAUCCUGCAUCUCAUUCAGCCUGCUCUGGGAGCAGCCUUAGCCAUCCUUAAACUCAUCCAACUGAUUCCCGUUUCUGCGGGUGCUUGGCUUAGUGCUGAGACGGGAUUCCGCCGUUGGUAUUCAGGUCCAACACUAAGACUGUGUCCAUGUUAGAACUCAUAGAAGUUAAUGGAACCCCUGGUAGUCAGCUCUCUACUCCGCGCUCAGGCAAGUCGCCAAGCCCAUCACCCACCAGCCCAGGAAGCCUGCGGAAGCAGAGGGACCUGUACCGCCCCCUCUCUUCGGAUGACUUGGAUUCAGUAGGAGACUCAGUGUAAAAGAAACAAUGGAGCAAUGUAUAUGGUUUGUGAUUGGGUGAAGGUUUCACAUUUCCGAAGCAAAAGUCUAACAGCAAAAUACACAAAAGAGUUUUGCAUACCUUGAAAUGAUAAAAGACCAAAUCAUCCAAAAGUAAAUAUGUAUGCAUUUUGUUUUCAUGAUGUUCAACCUUGAAAUUGAGAGAUUUAAAAAAAUAUCUCCCACAUGGAUUUGAUUGGGGAGAGUCUGAACACAAAAUGCUGAGAUUUUUGUACAGGGCCUGGCUCUAGAUGAAUUUCAUACACGGACCCAAUAUUGAGUACAAGAACACACUAACCAUGUGGCAAUAUAGAGCCAGAAUUUCUGUAGAUGGAGUUUUCUUCUUAAUUAUAAGUAGACAUAGAGAUAUAAUUUUUCUGUACUUUCUGUAAAGCAUAUUAAAACGGCACUAGCAGGCAUAUUUUUUCUAAAGGUUAUAUUGUUUUUAAAAUUUGAAUUGCUUGGUUUUUAGAGGUACUUUUAUUACAAAAUAAUAAAAACGCUUGGGUAGAUUUUUUUUCUCCCUAGACAGUAGAAAAAGCUACUUACUGUUUUGUGGGUUAGUACAUCCGAGAGAAAAAGAAAAAUUAUGACAACGACACAUCUCAUAAAGACUCUAAAGUUAGGCUUUAGGAACUUGCCUUGUUUUUGUUGUCAAGUAAAUUUUAUUUUUUAAAGUUAUUUUAUUAGAAACAAUAUAAAUUUAGCUUAAGCUAUAUGCCAAUAUGAAGAACUUGGCCAAUGGCAUUGCUAUAGAUUGUAUAAUUUUUUCUUACAAUCAUAUACAUAAUUUUUUAAAUGUGUAAAAACUAAAGCUGGGAAUUUUUUUUUUUUCCAUACAGACCUAAAAAAAAUUGUAUCUGGACUUUUUCCAAGAAAUCCAUUUGAAAAGCAAAAUUCACUUAAAUGGUGCUGUAUAAAUCAGGCCCAGAGUAUCCAAAUCUCCACUCUGAAAAAUUCUCAAUCUUGCUGGUGUUUUGGAAAUUUUCAUAUGCAAAACUCCUUUUGUGUUAAACCAAUUAAGUCUAUGAUUAUAACCCAUUGUUAAACAUUAACCUACUAAUUCUGCUCUUCUAGUCCUCUAUUUUAAAAAUUAUAGUCGGCUUUGCUUAAACAUAAAAUAAUGAUUUUAAAGUCUGAAUGUUAAAAAUUAAUUUAAUGUGUAUGGUCUAUUGUAUUUAAGCCAUAUCCUAGUGGUCAUUUACUGUUACUAGUUGAAACACUAACAGUUUAAGACUUGUGAAGCAUGGUUUUGAUAUUCUCCAGGCUUGACAUAUCUCAGUAGGUGAUAAAUUAAAAAUGUUUGAUGCCAUUUGGAGGCUUUUACAUGAUUUUUUUUUCAAAUUUUACUUGAAAACAAUUUUUAAAUGUUUUAUUCAAGAUGGAGAGAAAUUCAGUUGUCACACGCGGUUUUAAAUGUUAUUGAUUUAUCUCCCUGAUAAAUUGUUCAACUAGCAAAUUUUACCAUCUGGUUUAUAGUUACAUAUGUUACCAUCUCACUUUACAAGUGAAUAAAAUAUUCCAACCAAAAGAAGAAGAAGAAGAAGAAAAAACGUCCAGGCAAUCUAACAGCAUUUGAAAACUUAGCCCUGUAAUAAUUAGUGCCUCAUUAUGCUGUCUGUUGGAGAGAAAGACACUUCUCUGGCAGGUUAUUCAAGAGCUGCAAACUGAACCAUUCCAUCUUGAAAGAACAGUUCAUAAUAAUACCUGUUCCAGACUUCAGGUUUUAAAACUGUUUCCAAUAGAAAUGACCAGAGACUCCUGCUGAGAUCAAAAGGCUGCUUUAUUUUAGCUGAAACAGUAAACAUCUGUGAGGUUGCCUAUGCUGGUGUCUGUUUUAGUUAUGUCUUUGUAAAAUGCAUUACUUAAUACAGUUGGGUCCAUAAAAGAUUAGUAUGUAUUUGACUAAACUGCCAAAAAUACAAAGAAAGCAGUGGAACAGUUACUUUAAAACUGGUGGGGUCAGAUGGUCCAGAACAAAAAUAAAUUCCAAUAAUUUUAACUUCCCUGCACUGUCAAUCUUAUGGACAACUACUGCUAGAAAGGUCCAAUAAGUGCUAUUUGUUCUAAGUGGUAGAUAUUGCCAAUUGAUAUAGAGCCCGUGGCUUUGUUUAGACAGGGCAAAAAGAAACUGGACUUGUACUAAUUGCCGAUAGAUAUCAUGGCCAACUUUCCAUUCAAGCAGUUCCAAGGGAAGUGCUUUCCACAGCAUUUAAUCUCUUGAACAUAUGACUUCUAUUAAAGGACUGUUCAGGGGCUAUAUAUAUCAUUUACUUUUUGAAAGUAAAGUCCCUCAGAGAUUGAAACAGCACACCAUUUAUAGUCUUUGAGAUCUCUUUUUAUGCAAAACAUAAUUCUAUUAAACUAAAGCAGAAAUAAAAAUUUCUUAGCAACAAACCCAGAAGUUUUCAGUUCAUUGGUGGAACAGAAUUGGUGAUUUAUAGGCACUUAUGAUUGAGUUACUUAUAGAAUUCUUUAUAAAAAAAAUUCGGCAAUGAAUUUUUAAAUUGUUCUACUGAGCAGGGAAUGCUUCAGCAAAAGCCAUGCAGUUUUGUCCUAAUGAUAAUCCUUAAAUGCGCUCUGAAGACAUCGUGCUGUAGUUCAAAGUUCGAUACUUUUUCACUUGCACUCACUUUUUUCUUAGAUGUAGACAUUGUAGAAGAAGAUAUUAGGAAUAUUUCCCUGCUUUCAGCAUUUUAGAAGUGCAAAAGUUAAAAAUGUAUAAAGUAUGAAGUUCAGUGUGAACUCAAAAGACUAUAGUUCUGAAAGCCACAUGGUGUGUUUUUGUCUUGUUUAAUCAACUAGGCAGGGGGAAAAAUCUAGACAGUUUCUGUACUGCCAUAGAAUUUUAAGAAGUGUCAGGUUCUCUCAUCUGUAUACAUCCCUGUGCACAUAUAUUGGCUCAUCUAAAUAUUAAGAACCCAAAAAACAUUUUCUAAAACCAUUUGAACCAGCGCUAAUGUACUAUAUAUAUAUAUACCCUACAUAACCAGCCAGGGAAAUUCCAACACAUGCCCUGAAGAUCUAUACAUGAUUGGGCUCUUUUUCUUUCUUUCUUUCUUUCUUUCUUUUUUUUGCUUAAAAACAAUGAAGUGUGCAAGUCAGAUUUCUUAAUGAAAGUGAAUGAAUAUAUAGAAUAAUAUUCCUGAAAAUUCCACAUAUUUUAAUUCUUGGACUGCUAAAUUUUUCAUAUGUGGCCAUAUAUCUAUACAGGUGUUUGGGUGUUUAUGUAAAUUUGCCAGGCUUGGUGUGUAUGUGGGUAUGCUUCUGUAAGUAUCUGUGUAUGUGUAUAAACCAUCAACAGUAAAGUAUAGUAUUUGUGAUACAGCCUUAUAAGUUACUGGCUCUUGUGGAAUUAUACAUAAAAUCUUCAUGUAAUAAAGUGUUACUCUGUGACAUAUUAGUUGGGGCAUGUUUAAAUUAAAAAGCAGUUUGCUCAACUGGUAUGGCAAAUGGUUCAAAAUAUUCAGAUAUACUGAUUUAUAAAAAAAUUGAAAUUCAGCUAAAUCCAAUAUUGUGUUAACUAUUAAAUAUAAGUAACAUUAAUGUUUAUAUUGAUAUAUCUUUGUUUUCAAUUAUUAACAAGAUCGAAUACUAUGAUUUUUUUCUAUUGUGUGUGUAUGGAUGGCUUGUAGUGGUUGCCAAUCACUAUACUCUAAAAAAAUGAAACAUUGAUACAGUUGCAGAUUGUCAAGUGUAAUGUUGGAACAUAAAUAGAAGAAAAUCCAGAGUAUAUUUGAUAUGAAGUAAGUUUAAUAACAAAGCCAGAUAACCUGUAAGGCGAUUCUGUAUGUUCUUUCAAAACUCUAAACUGUUGACAAAUUUUGAAUAUACUUGCUGUAUGUGUGUAUAUAUCUACAUAAAUAUAUACACACUUGAAAAUGUUAAUUGAAUGAAUUUACUAUAUAUGCAUACAUUUGCUCAUUUAUGCAUAUUUGCAUUAACCUUGCUACCAUCUCUAUUUGUGCAUGUUAGUGACAACUGUCUUUGAUUGAAAUAUUGCACAGAGGCAUAGUGUGAAAAAUAGAGAUACACUGAAUUCAAUAUACCAAUUGCCUGAUAUAGUGUGUUGUACUGUCAGUUGAAAAAUAUUUGUAAUUUUGUGCCUGUUAUGCAUGUGGAAAAAAGAGGAAAUCAGAGGCCCUCACUAUAAUUUUUAAGGGUGCAUGACAUAUGAUGUCUUUAAAAUGUGGUUCAUUUUAGUAGAUUAUGGAUAAAUUCCAAGAUAGUAUAAAUGAUGCAUGUAAUACCUGAGUGUUUGUAUUAUAUAUGGCCACAAAAUGUUUUUGAAGCCAGGGUAGUAGAUAUCUAAAAGUUAUAGGCAAAGAAGUAUGAAAGUUAACUUUCUGUGAUGUGUUUUUGGGGAGUUGAUACUCAUCAGUAAGCAAGGAAUUGAGUUUAUUUUUUCUAAGAACUCUUUACUUUGAAAUAUAUUAUGAAUGUUGUAAAUUUGGAUAACAUUUUUAUAAAGAGGUUACAUACUUUCUGCUCACAGUUUCAGUUGAUUGGAUGUGUAUUCUCUUUAAAAAAAACAUUUUGUGUUAAAACAUUUGACACAGCAAUAUAUUUUUUAAAUCCAUCAACUAAGUCCAUCAGCAGAGCUUUAUAGAGCUAAGGGUUGACAAAAUGUUUCAUUGAACUACCCAAUUUUGAAAGUUCAGUUACUUUGUGCUGUGGUUUCAUUGUAAAAUGUUGUACCUUGUGUUUCACACUGGACCAUGUUAUUCCUCUUGAAGUUAACUUUGUGACACUUACCACCUUAGAAUAACUAUAUAAUAAACAGGAAAAACUGCU
RNAcentral lists this small RNA (5240 nucleotides) under Pan troglodytes (chimpanzee). RNAcentral's name for it is "processed transcript". Lineage: Eukaryota; Metazoa; Chordata; Mammalia; Primates; Hominidae. The record is from RNAcentral.